CCCUUAGAUGUCCUGGGCCGCACGCGCGCUACACUGACAUGUUCAACAAGCCUCCUAGUUCGACAGGAUUUGGGAAAUCUUUGAACGCAUGUCGUGAUAGGGAUAGAUCAUUGCAAUUAUUGAUCUUGAACGAGGAAUUCCUAGUAAACGCGAGUCAUCAGCUCGCAUUGAUUACGUCCCUGCCCUUUGUACACACCGCCCGUCGCUCCUACCGAUUGAGUGGUCCGGUGAGGCUUUGGGAUCUGAGCGGAAAGAGCGUUUCGCUGUUUCUGCCCGGAAAACUCAGUCGAACCUUAUCAUUUAGAGGAAGGAGAAGUCGUAACA
RNAcentral lists this ribosomal RNA (324 nucleotides) under uncultured eukaryote. RNAcentral describes it as "partial 18S ribosomal RNA". It matches the Rfam family "Eukaryotic small subunit ribosomal RNA", at positions 1470 to 1796 of the family's 1831-position model. The record is from RNAcentral.